This 253-nucleotide ribosomal RNA is filed under the name uncultured bacterium. Its description in RNAcentral is "partial 16S ribosomal RNA". It matches the Rfam family "Bacterial small subunit ribosomal RNA", at positions 524 to 776 of the family's 1533-position model. The record is from RNAcentral.
UACGUAGGGUGCAAGCGUUAAUCGGAAUUACUGGGCGUAAAGCGUGCGCAGGCGGUUUUGUAAGACAGGCGUGAAAUCCCCGGGCUUAACCUGGGAAUGGCGCUUGUGACUGCAAAGCUGGAGUGCGGCAGAGGGGGAUGGAAUUCCGCGUGUAGCAGUGAAAUGCGUAGAUAUGCGGAGGAACACCGAUGGCGAAGGCAAUCCCCUGGACCUGUACUGACGCUCAUGCACGAAAGCGUGGGGAGCAAAGGGG